Molecule: ribosomal RNA, 515 nt
Filed under: uncultured bacterium
Lineage: Bacteria
Description: bacterial SSU rRNA
Rfam family: Bacterial small subunit ribosomal RNA
Source: RNAcentral
AAUACUGUUGGACUAGAGUACGGCAGGAGAAAACGGAAUUCCCGGUGUAGUGGUAAAAUGCGUAGAUAUCGGGAGGAACACCAGAGGCGAAGGCGGUUUUCUAGGUUGUCACUGACACUGAGGCUCGAAAGCGUGGGGAGCGAACAGAAUUAGAUACUCUGGUAGUCCACGCCUUAAACUAUGGACACUAGGUAUAGGGAGUAUCGACCCUCUCUGUGCCGAAGCUAACGCUUUAAGUGUCCCGCCUGGGGAGUACGGUCGCAAGGCUAAAACUCAAAGGAAUUGACGGGGGCCCGCACAAGCAGCGGAGCGUGUGGUUUAAUUCGAUGCUACACGAAGAACCUUACCAAGAUUUGACAUGCAUGAAGUAGUGAACCGAAAGGGAAACGACCUGUUAAGUCAGGAGUUUGCACAGGUGCUGCAUGGCUUGUCGUCAAGCUCUGCCCGUGAGGUGUUUGGUCAAAGUCCUGCAACGAGCGCAACCCUUGUUGCUAGUUAAAUUUUCUAGCGAGACU